ACGCUCGACACCUACGGGAUGCAGCAGUGGGGAAUAUUGGGCAAUGGGCGAAAGCCUGACCCAGCAACGCCGCGUGAGGGAAGAAGGUUUUCGGAUUGUAAACCUCUGUCCUCAGGGACGAAGGACGUGACGGUACCUGAGGAGGAAGCCCCGGCUAACUACGUGCCCGCAGCCGCGGUAAUACUGAGCGGGCGUGGCGAAGGCG
This 205-nucleotide ribosomal RNA is filed under the name uncultured bacterium. RNAcentral describes it as "partial 16S ribosomal RNA". It matches the Rfam family "Bacterial small subunit ribosomal RNA", at positions 326 to 538 of the family's 1533-position model. The record is from RNAcentral.